This 117-nucleotide ribosomal RNA is filed under the name Danio rerio (zebrafish). Lineage: Eukaryota; Metazoa; Chordata; Actinopteri; Cypriniformes; Danionidae. The record is from RNAcentral.
ACACACAGCUAUGUCACCCUGCAGCCCAAGACCGGUUACUCAUUGAAGCUAAGCAGGGCUGAGCCUGGUCAGUACCUGGAUGGGAGACCACUAGGGAACACUAGGUUGCUGUUGGAA